Molecule: ribosomal RNA, 254 nt
Filed under: uncultured bacterium
Lineage: Bacteria
Description: partial 16S ribosomal RNA
Rfam family: Bacterial small subunit ribosomal RNA
Source: RNAcentral
UACGAAGGGGGCUAGCGUUGUUCGGAAUCACUGGGCGUAAAGCGCACGUAGGCGGAUCGUUAAGUCGGGGGUGAAAUCCCGAGGCUCAACCUCGGAACUGCCUUCGAUACUGGCGAUCUUCGAGUCCGGGAGAGGUGAGUGGAACUCCGAGUGUAGAGGUGAAAUUCGUAGAUAUUCGGAAGAACACCAGUGGCGAAGGCGGCUCACUGGCCCGGUACUGACGCUGAGGUGCGAAAGCGUGGGGAGCAAACAGG